Equus caballus (horse) is the source of this 17715-nucleotide long non-coding RNA. Lineage: Eukaryota; Metazoa; Chordata; Mammalia; Perissodactyla; Equidae. The record is from Ensembl.
CCUGGACCUUCCACAGUCAGAGUCAUAACGCUUCAGCGCGCUGUGCUCCAGAGGCCCUGCGGCGGGAUGUGGAGCUGCCGACUGGCUCUGGCCCAAAACUGUGCGCUGGAGGGACUGCCUGAAGCCAAAACGGGGCAGGGCACCGCGCAUGCCCGGCGCAAAACUGCUGUACUCUACGGCCUUCCGGGAGCCCUCAGGCGGUCCAAACUGACCUGUUUGUCCGUGUCUCUGGCGAAGUGGAUUUCAUCCCCCUCACAGACUGACUCCGUUAUGGCUAUGGGAAUCGGUGUUGGGAGAACAGCUGGAGGCGUUGACAUAUGUUUUGUGUGGUAAGUACAGAGGCUGGGAGCCAUCCGCUGCUGCUUCUGAUAGGCAUCUCAGUAAGAUUAAGAUGAAUGGUGAUCAAAUCAUGGUCAGCGAACUCUGUCAGGGGGUGGAAAACCCAGCAGUCAGUUAAAUUUAAUGUGCCUUCAGGGUUUGGGAGAAUUGCUCCAGAGUGCUUUCCUUCUUUGAGCAAGGCUUUGGGGUGAAUCUUAAAGAGAUCAUUAACAUUCCUCCCUCCCUCAGACUUCCCUGGGUCUAAAACAUGUCACUGAGGUGUUUCCCUCUCUUUUGCCGCAAAAGUCAGAGUGGUCCGGUUCCAGCAGGUAUAACUUCACCCUUUUCCAAGUCGUUCCCUACACUCACUUGAAGAUCUUUCAUCUGGAGUGGUCAGUUCAGGGACAAGGAAAUUUUUAAAAAUUUACAGAGUUCCAUUAUGAUCUCACUUUGGCCCACUAUAGAGGGACUUGGCAAGCAGUGUACUUGACUAAGUAGUCAUUAUCCUUGGGAUCUAGGACUCUCUCAGUCAAACAAAGUAAUCUAGACGGCUGAAUCAAGAAUUAAAUUUGAAUGCUCUGGGCCUUCUUUUGGCCAGCCGGACACUUCUAGGGUGUUGUAGUUAAGGAAAGUAAAGAAGCAUCAUGUCCCACAAUAAACAGAUGAAGUCCUGAGUUUUUAAAAUGGAUCUGUAUAAUUUCCCACCCCUUGUGUUCUGAUCAUUAACCAGGAGGCAUUGGAGGUGGGUGAUCCCAUUCUGCGAAUAGACACAUAGAGUGACAAAACUUCCCUACUGAACAUGAGGAAAAUUUUGUCUUGGGGGAAAUAGCAUGGUUGUGAAAUUAAAAAAUUAUCAUUUUGCUAUUUGUUUGCUUUAGCCAAAUAGCCGAGGUAGGUUAUUCUAAAAUAAACUUGAUUUGGUCUUUUCCUGUUUUAUAUUGCCUUCAAUGAAAAAGAAAUUUUCAAACAUUGGUUUAAAACUCAAUUGCAUACUAUGGAAACAGUACAACAUCUACCAUAAAUAUAGAGGCUGUGUAUUAUACUAAAAAGAAUAUUGAGCCUGUUUAUAGCCAUGUCUUAGAAAAUUCUAUUUGCUUCUCUGUAUAUGUUUCCCUAUUUGUAAAAGGGAAUGGACCAGCUGGUCAUUAACACUUCUUAAGCUCUAACUGCUGAUAAUUUUGAUUAGCCCCUGGAGUGUUUGGCUGGAUUUAUAUUUGCUUCCCCUUAACAAAUAUAAAUAAUUUAUAAAUAAUUGGGAGGUUCAUCUAUUCAAAUUAUUUGGCUAGAAAUAUCUCUGUUAUGUUUUGUACCCAACCAUUUCCAUUAUUCCUGUGUCUUCCAUGGUUCCUGCUCAUAAUGGUGAGACAAUAUCAUGGUAUAUUUUUUCCAACUUUAUUGAGAUAUAAUUGACAUAUAACAUUAUGUAAGUCUAAGGUGUACAAUGUGGUGAUUUGAUACACAUAUAUAUUCUGAAAUGAUUACCACAAUAAGGUUAGUUAAUGCAUCUAUCACCUCACAUAAUUACCUUUUCUUCUUUUUUUUGGUGAGAGCAUUUAAGAUCUACUCUCUUUGAAAAUUUCUAGUAUAUAGUACAGUAUUGUUAACUAUAGCCACCAUGCUGUGCAUUAGAUCCCCAGAACUAUUUCAUCGUAUAACUGGAAGUUUGUACCCUUUGACCAACAUCUCUCCAUGUCUCCAUCCCCCAGCCCCUGGCAACUACCAUUCUGUUCUCUGUUUCUAUGAGUUCAGCUUUUAUAGAUUCCACAUAUAAGUGAGAUCAUACAUAUUUGUCUUUUUCUAUCUGAAUUAUUUCACUUAGGAUAACGCCCUCAAGGUCCAUCCUUGAUGUUACAAAUGGCAGGAUUUCCUGCUGUUUUAUGGCUGAAUAAUAUUCCAUUGUGUAUAUAUACCACAUUUUCUUUCCAUUCAUUCAUUGAUGAACAUUUAGGUUGUUUCCAUGUCUUGGCUAUUUUGAACAAUGCUGCAGUGAAUAUGGAGGUACACAUAUCUCUUCAAGAUAGUGAUUUUGUUUUCUUUGGAUAUAUACCCGGAAGUAGAAUUGCUGUAUCAUAUGGUAUCUCUGUUUUUAAUUUUUUUUUUUUUUUGAGGAAGAUUAGCCAUGAGCUAACUACUGCCAAUCCUCCUCUUUUUGCUGAGGAAGACUGGUCCUGAGCUAACAUUCGUGCCCAUCUUCCUCUACUUUAUACCUGGGAUGCCUACCACAGCAUGGCUUUUUGCCAAGCAGUGCCCUGUCUGCACCCAGGAUCUGAACCAGCGAACCCUGGGCCACCAAGAAGCGGCAUGUGUGCACUUAACUGCUGCGCCACCUGGCUGGCCCUCUGUUUUUAAUUUUUUGAGGAACUUCCAUACUGUUUUUUCUAGUGGUUGAACAAAUUACAUGCCGUCCAACAGUGCACGAUGGUUCUGUUUUCUCCCCGUAUCCUUGCCAACUCUUGUUAUCUCUUGUCUUUUUGUUAAUAGCCAUUCUAACAAGUGUGAAGUAAUAGCUCUUUGUGGUUUGGAUUUGCAUUUCCCUGAUGAUCAGUGAUGUUGGGCACCUUUAUGUGUACCUGAUGGCCAUUUGUAUGUCUUCUUUGGAAAAAUGUCUAGGCAGAUCUUCUGCUUAUUUUUUAAUCCUAUUGAGUUUUUUGCUAUUGAGUUGUAUGAGUUCCUUAUAUAUUUUGGAUAUUAACUUCUUAUCAGAUAUAAAGUUUUCAAGUAUUUUCUCCCAUUGCAUAAGUUGUUUAAUUUUGUUAAUUGUUUCUUUUGCUGUGCAGCUUUUUAGUUUGAUAUACUCUCACUCAUUUAUUUGUUGUUGUUGUUGUUGCUUGUGCUUUUGGUGUCAUAUCCAAAAAAUUGUUGCCAAGACCAGUCAAGGAGCUUUUUCCCUAUGUUUUAUUCUAGGAAUGUUACUGUUUCAACUCUUACAUUUAAGUCUUUAGUCUAUUUUGAGUUAAUUUUUCUAAGUAAUAUAAGAUAGGGGUCCAUUUCACACUUUUGCAUGUGGUUAUCUAGUUUUUCCAACACCAUUUAUUGAAGAAACUAUCCUUUCCCAUUGCAUAUUCUUGGAUUCCUUGUCAAAUAUUAGUUGGCAUAUUGAUGAAUUACUUAAUAAAUAUAAACCAAUCCUUCUACUAAAGUAGGUAAGGAACAAAUGGGAAAGAUUCAACGGGGAGAAAAUAUGGCAAAGAGAAUAGUAAAAGUAAAUUUUCUUUGUUUUCUGUGAGUACAAAGAAUCUAUCUUCUCCAUUGUACCCCCAUCCAUUCUUCUAAAAACUUAGUCAUAGUACUUCUAAUUGGAGGCUUAUCCAACAUUAAUUCUAAACUUCUUAAUAUAAUAUUUAACUUUUUUUAUGAUUUGGUCUCAAUCUGCCAUGCCAGUUGAAACUUCGAGUUUCACAUAUCUUCACAUACCUUGUAUUCAGAAACCUCAAAUUAGCAUUCCAACAGGGUCAGGAAAUAAUGGCAUAAGUGAAGCGUGCCAGGUUUGUGUCAUAAUGGUGAUCCAAGUGCAUAUUAAAACCAAAUAAAGAGAUGUAUUCUUCAUUUCCCUAAAGUAAUAUUUCUUCUAUUUUAUCUUAUUUAUGUUUCCAUAAUAGAUACAAUAUGUACUUCAACUUUUUUCUUAACUUCAGUAUUUGAAAAAGAAAAGAAAAAAGAUCAUCACAAGGUUGAUGAGAAAUGAUGAUUCCAAGCUUCAUUGUUGAGGAGACAAAAGGGAAUAUUGGAGACUGUGGUAAACAUCAGAAUGAAUGCUUUAUAUAAGAGAUACGUGUGCUGCUGGAAUCUAAACAGUUUUUGUUAUGAGAUAAUGUAGAUCUGGUGUUAUAGCAUCUUCCAAACUUUAGGAAUAUAUGGGGAUUUAACUGGGGGUGGGAAUGGUGGUCAUAUUGUCUUCAGCACUUAAAGUAGUAAAACAAAAAAGCAUGCCCUCACCGAGUUCACAGUCUACUGGGGAAAGUGCCAGCAAUAUACAUACUAAAUGAGUGAAUUAUAUAAUAUUUUUAAAUAUGAUGACUGCUAUGGAGAAAGAAUAAGGCAUAGUAAAGGAGAUAGGGAAUAAUGGGUGAGAUUGCAAUUUUAAAUAGAGUAGUCAGUAUGUUACGAUUUGAAGGAGAUGAAGGAACAAGUCAUGCUGGUAUCGGAGGACAAGAACUGCAGGCAGAAGAAGCUAUUAGUGUAAAAGAUGGCGUGUUGAAGGAAGGGCAAGAAAGCCAAAGUGGCUACAGCAAAGUGAGAGAGGUAGGCAAUGAGGUCAGAGAGGUAAGGCUAUGGUGUGGGCAGUUCUUGAAGGUUCCUAUACAGAAUUGUAAGGAAUUUGAUUUGUUUCUGAAUGAAAUAGGGAACUGUUGAAGAGUGUAAUUUUUUUUUUCCAUGUGGAAUCUCAAGCUUUUAAAGACUGGGGACUAUUUACUUUUUUUCUUCAAUCUGAACAUGUCAAUCUGUGGCUAUGUGCAGCCAGACUCAUGUGGCAGGCAGCCAGUUUGCGAGUUCUGCUACUGAAAUGUUUUUUGUUGUCUCAUCCUUUCAUGAUCACGUCUUGCAUUUGAAAUAUUCUUUGUCUUGCAUUUAAAAUAUUUCCCCUCAAUAUCUUAAACUGAAUUGUUCCAUAACCUAUUUCUAUUUCUCAGUUAACUUAGAGGAUUCCCCAGUCCUACUUACUGUUCCCUGUCUCAUUUUUGCUUCCUGCCAUUUCAUGCAUCCUGGGCUCAGCUUUGCUCUUCUGUGUGAUUUGGCUCCUAAUUAGACUGCUAGCACUGUCCUUUACCCUGCUUCUUACAGUUAAUGUUGAGUGGAACAUGCUCGUUGAUAUGUAACAAAUCUGUACCACUGUCAGAAUGAGCAUCUUCUCCUGACACUUCUCGGCCUUCUGAUUCCUCCCGUUAUGAAUGUUGACUCUUCAAUCAACUUCUUACAGGUUUGGCGCUGUUAUGAGAAGGGAAGCAAAUUAAUCCACCCUGUUCCAUUAAAAACCUCCACUGACCAAAAGAGAACUUGUUGAAAUACUUUUAAAGAGAGGGCAGUAAAGGUAGCUUUGGAAUAGUUCAUUGUUAUCAGCAAUGUUAUAUUCUUUUUCAGUUUACAGAACUUUGCCUGUAAAAAAUGGAACAGCUACACAUUUGGAUGGGACACCUUUAUAAGUAAUGAGAUCUUAGAAUUUAAAUGAGAGAGACAUUUAAGCACUCCUCCUUCUAAAUUUUCAAGUUAAAUGGUCAAGAGUCAUCACAUAUAUAGCUCUACUUAAGGCAAUCGACUUGCCCCAGGCCAUCAGAACCAGCGCUAGAGUCUUUGAAUUUUGCUAAUAAUUCAUUUUGCUGCUGCUAAGACAAUACCUCAUUCUCAACUAAUGUGAAUAAAUUACUACUUUCCAACUUCAUUUGAAAAGGAAUUAGAUUAAGUGAAACAGUUUAUAUUGAGUGUUUGCUAAAUAAGACAUUUUGAAAUAGAUGGUAUUUCGAAGAUAAAACAACAAUGGAUUUCACCUUUGUGGAAAUGAGAUCCUAACCAUUUUGAUAAGAACUAUAGUCUAAAGGAAAUCCUGAGUCAACAUAAAGCAGUAGGGUUUUUUUUCCCUAUAGAGGUGAAACCACAUAGCAGAUGAAUGGCAUAUUGUGUAAAGUACGAAUUAAAGAAAGAAUAUAAUGGAGAACUUUUAGUAAAGUUUCAAUUUUAGUAAAAUAGAAAAUUUUUUGCAGGAUCUUUAAAUUAAUUCCUUGGAGGAUUAUUUCUUUCUGAACAUGUCUUUCUGAACAUUAUUCUCUAUGAUAUAAGAACAGUAGAUGUUCUGGAUCAUUCACUUUGGAAUCAAGAAAGAUUUUAUGGAAAUCCAGAAAUUAUUUUGUUAAAAAAUAACAGCAAGGUAUCAUAAUAAAAUGCAUUCAGCAGAUUAAAUAUGAGGAAACAGAAAUUUUUAAAAAUAUACAAAUAUUCUGAAAUGCUUUCAACAUUAGUUUUGGGUGAUUUCUUUUGUGAUUAUUCAAAUUGUUAGCAGUUACUCUGUUUUAUUAUUGCUGUUUGUUUUCAUACACAUAGACUAAAAGGUUUACACUUAAACGAGAAGAUGCCUACUUCAAUCACUUAUGUCACACUAAGCAAAACCACAAAAUUUGAGUUUAUGCUAACGUGGAGAAUUUAAUGAAUGCAAAAACUAACCCCAGUAACAAGAAAUCAGAUUAUUACUCUCAAGAAAUAAUGCUAGGUGAAUUUUCAGCAUGAGAAGUUAUUUUUCAGGAAAAAGCAAUCUGAUUGAAUUCGUAUAGCUGUUCAGAUCACAAGGACUGCUUUUACUGCUAUUACUGUUUGGUCCUCAUCUUGGAGUGACAUUGUCCCCUUCUCUAGCUUUGAUCUUAACAAAGAGAAAAAAGAUAUUUUGGUGAAAAUGUUUGGAAACUUGUUGACACUUCUUAUGGGUAUCUUUCCUGUUUUGUUUUUUGUUUUCCUAACCAUGUCCUUAUUUGUCAUUCAUUUAUAUAUGAUAACAUUGAUUCGUUAACUUAUUCAUUCCACAGAUUCCACAUAUAUCUCAUUUGUGAAGUGGGAACUUAAUGUACCUGGAUCAAGACUUUAAGAACAUUUCAAGCACAAGAUAGUGCAAACUCAUGAUUUAUUCUUGUCUUUAAAAGUACACACACUUUUAUGAUUAAUUUUGGCAGCCUUAACUGUUCUUGUUAAAGACUUUCUAAAUUCACCCAAAUAUCUGGAGUUAUACUAUCCAGUGAUCAAGCACUUUCAUGUGUUGAAGCUCCAGCUUUCUUAGAAUACCUUGAUAAACAUGAAGUAAUUUAUGAAAUACUUACUAAUUGCAAAGCACUGUGUUAGAUACGGAGAAAUGCAUUCCCUGCCUAUGGUAUUCAAUUGCUUUAAAUAUAUAAAUUCAUCUAAUCGCCACAGCGAUCUUAUUAAUUUGUAAUUGUAUUAAAGCCUUUCAGAUGAGGAGAUUUCAGUAUGGGGUUGUUAAAUGAUUUGAUCAAGGACACAAUGCUACUAAGGACAAGAGUCUGGCCAUUUCCAUCAUCCUACUCAAUCCUCAAGCAGAGUACUCAAUUUGAUUUUUUUCUUUAAUGAAUAAAUGCCAUAUCUUAUUGUGAAGACAAAAUUCUUAGUUUGAUAUUAAAAUUGUAUUAAUUACAAAUCAGUAAUUUCAUGUCAAUUUAAAACUAGCAAAUGCAGGUACUCUAUUUGAAAUUUAAAAAAAAUACAAGAUAUUAUUUUCUUUUGCAAGGUAUGAAAGACUAAUAGUUUCUGUGAAAUUAUCGUUCUUUUUAAUAUAUGGUAUACUUUUGCUAUAAAAAUACAUUUCAUCUAAGCCUGGCAUGAGGCUGUUUAGAAAAUAUGUUUAUGUUUAUGCACAGGACUUUUUGAGCAAAACUUGCUGAAAUUUCAGACCUAGGCUAAAAGACAAGCCUAAGAAGUUAAUUUAUAACUCAUUAGCUAGUAAAAAAGAUAGAGAGAUUUACUUCUUCAGAAAUAUGUGUUUGUAUUUCAAAGGGGCAUGUGACGUGGGAAAGGGAGACAUUCCCUGGCUUGUAAAGUUGGAGACUGGUCUUCUAUCUCUCCUAAAGAGAUUCAUUUGUAUUCCAAAGAGUGAGGACCCAGCAUCCUUCCCCUUACGUUUCCACAAAGACUCUCUCUGAAGGGAAUGGGGGACUUUCCUAUAUAAAUUUCUAGAUUUAUCUUUUUGUGGUCUCUUUCCUAUAUAAAGUCUAGAUUUUUUUUCCUUGGUCCUUCACCUACAAUACAGACCCUGUGAUAUCUGGUUUUCAUUUGCCAUUCCAGUGGUAAAAAUCGGGGCACAGAGGAAUCACGCUUAUUAUUUUCUCUAAGUAAAUGAUGAUAAUCUGCUCUGCCCGGAAACUUUUGUGCAUAUAUUGAAGAUGAUAAUAAUAAAUAUAGAUAUUAAAAAUCUAACACCUAGUGUGAAAACUAUUCUGUACAUUAAAAUUAGAAGUCACAGUGUUGAAACACAACGUUAUUGCUUAGUAGUUCAUUUAUUUUGCACAGUUUUGUUUUUAAACUUCCUUGAACUUUAGUUGCUGUGUAAGAUGGUCAUUUUUACAGUGCCAUUGCAAGGUUAAAUGAAAGGACAUUUGUUAAAAAUUGUGAUUUCUCAAGAACUAUAUAGAGAAAAGGAAAGAUGAUGAUGAUGAUGAUGGUGAUGAUGACAUGAUAUUGAUACCAAUGAUGAUAGAUAAUGAUAUUGAUGAUGAUAGAUAGUAAUUUGAAAUUAUUUGGUAAAAUAUCUCCAAAGGUCUUAGGGUCAAAUAAAAUAUUUGAUAUUGGCUCUCUUUUUCCUCUUAUCCUUCUUGCAAAAUCCAAGUUAUUGAAGUUAGAUUAGUGCACAUGCAAAACUGCUAAAUUAUUGCUGAGCAAAAGGCCUGGACAUGGUAAGCAAUCUAGAAAUGGUUUAGUAUGUUGUCUAUCAUGAUGUGAUGAAUAUAUAAGACAGGAAGAAAAAGAAUCAUAACUGUUUGCAGAUGAUAUUUGAAGAUAAGGUAGGUGAGCAGAGAGUCAUGAGAAGUCAGUCCCAGGUGCCUGGUACUUGAGAAAAGCCUCAUUUGGGGAGUAUGGAGCAGAUUGCUACAAUUCCAGUCACUUCUAAAGGAACUUUGUUAGAAAUAUUUGGUUUGGCAUAUUGAUGGUUUCAAUAGUGAGUAUAUUUUAUGAUGACUAAUAAACAUAAGCAAAUGAAUUUAAUUGCAACUGAGAAGAUGUAUAAAUAUAGAAUGUGUGUGAAGAAGUAAAACAAUAACCCUAAUAAUUUGAGAGGAGAAUAAAAUUGCCUCCAUCUUGUAGGCAUUUCAUAGACAGAUGCGUUUAUUUUUCUUUUGCUGUGUUUUGUAUUUUGCUUGAUUUAUAUUAUUUCUCCAUUUUACUUUCAUUGUAAUUCUCAUGUCUAAGGGAGGAUAGUACCCCAGGAAGCAAUUCGUGCAAAAUGAAAGAGAAUUCAGGUUAUUUAAUCUGAAAUACAAAUGGUAAAUUUCAAGAGUGGAAGAAAAAGUUACACUAAUAUCUUUAAACAUAUCCACCUCCCUAUGCACACAGACUGACAAUCAGAAACACACAGGACUAAUGCUUUAAAAAUUCACUGUGAGACCCUUUUUUGUUUAUCUGUUGAAAAGCAAAGAAAAUGUCUAUGAGGGCUUUUUCGAUUUAUGUCAUAGGAUGAAUAAAUUAUAUCAUAGGAUCUGCAAAUAAGAGAAAGGAGAGACCACGAAGGCACUGGGUAUGUCAAGAAAGUCCAUCUGGGAAUGCUGGGAAGAGAAUGGGAAAUGUGAGGAUUGAAGCUCAAGUCCGCUUACAUUUCAUAUAUAUCUAGGUACUGCCUAAUAUUUUCUGCAGUUCAUAAAGCUACAAAUUGGAUUAUACCUAUUAGGCAUAGAAUAAAAUCCUAAGAUUAUGUGCUUUGGUUUUCUCUUUUUAAGAAAAUAUUCCAGGGGCCAGCCUGGUUGCAUAGUGGUGAAGUUCUCACAUUCUGCUUCAGUGGCCGAGGCUUCGCUGGUUCGGUUGCAGACAUAUGUACUGCUUGUCAAGCCAUGCUGUGGCAGACGUCCCACAUAUAAAGUAGAGGAAGAUGGGCACAGAUGUUAGCUCAGGGCCCGUCCUCCUCAGCAAAAAGAGGAGGGGUAGUGGCAGUUGUUACCUCAGGGUCCAUCUUCCUCAAAAAAAGAAAAAAGAAAACAUUCCAGAGAAAUGUAUGUUAACUUUUGGUCUACUGAAAUGGAAUACUUGUCCACAAAAACAUUCCAUAAUAAUUUCCCUUGAAACUGAGAUACUUCACAUUGAUUGCCAACUUCACUCAUGCUGAAAUCAGCCAAAAGACCUCCUAAAUCACCAACAGAUGUUUGCAUACUAAAAGCCAGUGGAAAACUUUAUUUCUUUCCUUUUCCUUCCUUUAUUUGGCUGAAAUUUCCACAUCCUAAAGUAUCCCAAUAUCCGGGGCAUGUAGGCUGGAAAGCCACAGAGUUUUCUCAUCCCUGCAUUUUUACUUAUUUCAAGUGCGUAAUAGGAUAGCAUCAUCAAGGUCUAAUUGUCCUCUGGAUGUGGUCUAAAGAGACUCACAUAGAUCCCAAAGGCACAGCACUUUUACUUUAGGUGCAGAAAGUAGCUUAUAUUAAUUGCUAUAGAUUUAAUCAGUGUUCAGAAUUGUGUUCUGAAAAUUUUAAGAAACAGUGGUAUCACGAAUUAUGUUAGGUACAGGCAAGUGUUUUACACGAACAAGCUUGGAUCACUUGUAGCUCCCUAGACCAAAAAAUAAUGUAAUCAUAAACCUGUUUGUCCAGUGACUCCUACUGCUGGCAAUCCUGAAUUAGAUGUGGCAUAGGUAAACCAACAAAGUCUAUCAGCUCAGAGAAAUCGUGCCAGUACAUAGAAUGUUCAUCUACUCAAAGCGGUGACACAUUUGGGACAAAGUCCUCACAACCUAAACUUGCAGUCCUGACUAUACCAUUAAGAUUCUCAGUCUUGUUUGCCAGAUGCUUAGGUACUUUUUAUCAGUGUGUAGCUUCUCUUGAUUCUUACACUGUGUGUUACAUGGUGCUUUAGCGAUUUCAGUAUCUUAUUCCAAAAAGCUGAUUUCAAAAUAUUCUGAGAGCUAUUUCAUGAUAUCAUGGUAUAUAUCAUGAUAUAUGAUUAAGAACAAUUGAGCAACGUAUGCUUGAGUGCAAUUAUGCUUAUAUAGUAAUCAUAAUAAGUGGGGAACCAUAUAUGGAAUGAGUGCUAUCUGUCAUACAAUGGAUAUAUUAUUGUCUUAGUCUGUUCUGGCUGCUAUUAACAAACUAUCAUAGACAAGGUUGCUUCUAAUUAAUAAAAAUUGCCUUGAACAAUAGCUUCUGGCUUUAGUUAAGAUGGCUGACUAAUCUCCUUAUCAAAUGGUUAUUUACCCACACCCUCAUUUUUCAUCUUUUAUUGUAUGAAUAGGCUGAGAAUUUUCCAAAUCUUUAAUUUCUGCUUUUUCUUGAUUAACAAUUCCAUCUUUAAGUCAUUUUUCUCCUCACAUUUUACUGUAAGCAGUCAGGAGGAAGCAGGCUGUUCCUUCAACACUUUGCUUAGAAAUUCCUUAGCUAAAUAUCCAAUUUCAUUGCUCGCAAGUUCCACCUUCCACAAAACACUGGAACAUGACAAUUCAUCCAAAUUCUUUGUCACUUUAUAACAAGGAUGACCUUUCUUCCGUUGUCCAAUAACGUGUUCCUCAUUUUCACCUGAGACCUCAUCAAAAUGGCCUUUACCGUCUAUGUUCCUACCAACAUUAUGUUCAGGAUGACUUAGUUAUUCUCUAAGAAGACUGAAGCUUUCUCUAUGGCUCUCCUGUUUAAGAGCUUUCACCAGAAUUACUCUGAAGGGUCCAUUAAUGGUAGUGUAGGCUUUUUCUAGGUGCACCUCCAAACUCUUCUGGCCUCUACCCAUUACCCAGUUCUGAGGCUACUUCUGCAUUUUUAAGUAUUUGUUAGAGUAGCACCCCACUUCUGGUAUCAACUUCUGUCUUAGUCUAUUUGGGAAGUUAUAACAAACUACCAUAGACUGGGUGACUUAUAAACAACAAAAUUUUAUUUUUCACAGAUCCAGAGGCUAGGAAAUUCAAGGCACUGGCAUGUUCAUGUUUGGUGAAAGUCCGCUUCCUGGUUCUUCACAUGGUGGAAGAGAUAAAGGAGCUCUCUGGAGCCUCUAUUAUAAGGGCCCUAAUCUCAUUGGUGACCUGGUGAGAAGUGGAUGAACUCUGCAUGUGCAAGAAUUCAGCCUCCCACCUCAAUGCCUCCGCCCCAUCCAGACAAUACUUAGGAUGUCACAAAACAUGACUAAGGUAAAGGAUGACAAGAAGAAGAAAGAGUCUAUUCUCGGGCUUUGAAUUUCAAAAGACACUUUGAGCGUUGGGACUUCCAGGAUGGCAAACUGAAGAGCUCAGUAGAACCUCUCCCCAAAGGCAACUGUGAAACUGGACGGAAUAGACACUAACAAGAAUUUCAGGAUUUUGGAAGUUAAUCAAAGGUUUACAACACUUCAGACAUGUUAAUCUUGAAAAUUUACUAAACUUUUGAACAGUGAGAGCCUGUGGCAGUCUUGCCUGAAUCGACUCCCUCUCCCCGUCGUUUGGUGGGACAAGCCAGAACAACAAGCUUUGCUGAUCGAUGGAGCUCACUGGAUUUGGACUGAAGAAGAAAAAGCACCGGCCUAGUCAGUAACAAUAGUGCUCUCAGUAGCUAAUGAACAGGGAUGACAAGUGACUUAGCUAGCUUUGGGUUGUAACCCUGAUAGGGAAAUUUAACAAUGAGGUCUCAGAAAUGAAAAAUCCGUAGUGGGCCAUGAGAAGUUUUCCGUAUAUCCCUGGCUUUCUGUGAGCCUGGAUAAAUGUGUAGGGGAGGUGUCAGAGAACUAUGCAGAAAGCAAAAGCUGGGGAAGAAGAAAAAUGCCUGAACUUUAAAUACACAGCACAGCCCAUGCACGGAUCCACUGAAGUGAUAGAAAUAUUCUGACUUUUCACAGUGGUAUUUAUUGUACAAAUCUAAAAACUUACUCAAAGUCAUUAAAUUGCACAAUUACAAGGGGUGAAUUUUAUGGCAUGUAAAUAGUACUUUAAUAAAGCUAUAAAACAUGUGAAGGGACACUAAAAAAAUUUAUUUUGCAAUUAAUUUCCAGAGACAAUAAUUUGGUACAAAAGUGUUCUGGGCAUCUCAAACUUGUCUUUUGAGGUUUUGAGGUGUCCAUAGCUCAGGACAGAGAAGGGAGUCAGAGAUGCAAGUGAGCCAGACCUCAUUGGAAAUCCUUGACAAAAGGUUCUUUCUCCUAGUCAUUUCCAGGCUAACUGGCAGGUUGCAGAAAGAUGGUGGAAUGAAGAGAACGGGAGAAAAAAAUAUCGAAGACAACCUGCUUUUUUCCCCUUCAGAGGAAUUAAUAAGGCAAACAAGUAAAUCCUCUGUUUCCUUGGAACCACAGGGUGAUAAAGCAGGGAUGUAAAAAUUCGUAUGGGGUAUUAGUUGAAAUAGAGGCCUGAAGCAGAUUUUGAAAGUCCCCACAAACUCCAGGACUAGCUGUGCUGCACACAAAUGAUUUCCAGUAAGGCUGUGGAUGCCACGAUGGGUAGGUGCCACAAAAAGAAACCAGUGGAAAUGAGUUGUGACAGCAAAUGAACAUGCCAGCUUGCACAGUGGUUGAUAAAGAACUCUGGGUCUCUCUGUAGCACAUUGGCCAUAUGUAAUCCUCCUCAGAAUUAACAGCAACUCUGUAACUUAGGAGAAACCCUGAAUUAAGUUCAUUGAUGGUCAUUAAAUUGAAUAUUCUAAAUUGAACAAGUUUAAUUUCCUACAAUUGUUGAAAUAAGCAUUCAGGUGAAAAAUAAGUUCAGAAAUAUGAAACUAUGAAAAGUUAAACAUCUUAGAAACCUGACUUUAGGGUCAUAGAAGCACAUCAUAGAUUUAUGAAAAUGUACAUAGGACACCUUUCAAGGACACAAGUAUAGCAAGAUUAUACAGUGAGUUAAACAUACUUUUCUGACUGGAUACCACCUCAGAUUACAUAAAACGUUACUAAGUAUCAUCAUCAUAUUCAUUAUCAAGAAAUGCUUAUUAAAAACUUCCUUUCAGGGGCUGGCCCUGUGGCCGAGUGGUUAAGUUCGCGCGCUCCGCUGCAGGUGGCCCAGUGUUUUGUUGGUUUGAAUCCUGGGCGUGGACAUGGCAGUGCUCAUCAAACCACGCUGAGGCAGCAUCCCACAUGCCACAACUAGAAGGACCCACAACGAAGAAUAUACAACUAGGUACUGGGGGGUUUUGGGGAGAAAAAGGAAAAAAUAAAAUCUUAAAAAAAAAAAAAAAAAACUUCCUUUCACAUAAAUGUGUCAAAUAUACAAAAUUAAACUUUUUUUAUUCAGAGUGUUGAAAGGCCACUAAAGUAUAACUUAGAAGAACUAGGGUCCCAUUCACAUUCUGCUUCUAACUAAGCCUGAAAAAAUAAUUUAAAAUCUCUGGACCAAUGCUUUCUUAUUUUUAUAAAUGAGACAUGAAGCAAGAUGAUCUAUAAACCUCUUCCAGUAAUGGAAUUUUAUGACCAUAAUAUAGGCUAUAUGCUGCUUCGAAUACUUGGUGCAGCAAGAUUGGACAUUUAAUUAGUCAAUUAAUUAAAUCAGUCAAUAUUGUCAAAGAGAUCACUGAAGUGACACUGACAAAUACAUACCUUAAACAGAAUGAAUUGUUAUUUAUAUUAAAUUUCUUAUAUGAAUUAAAAUUUCUUAAAGAUGUUAAGAGACAAGGACAUUUUGUGACAUGAUUCAUAAUAGUUCAGUCAGGGGAUAAGAUUUUGAAUACAGGAUAAACCACCUAUUUUUCUGAAUGAAAAUUCACGGACGAUAAUCUUGUCAGUAGUUUAGCUCUUUCUAGAAAUAUUUGCACUCUCCAUGAACAGUGAAAAAUAACAUACACUUAGAUUGACAUCACUCAGCUAAGUAAUUUUUGAAAAUAUACAGGAGUCUUUUUCCAAGCAAGUCCAAAGAAAUAUGUUCAACAAUUGCCCAUGAAACAAAGAGAAUUACUGACAGAGGUUACAAAUGUGGGCAGAAGUUGUUGAGGCCACAACAACCUUUGCUCUGUUACAGUGACGCACAGGUGAAGUAAAUCUAAUAAGACAAUUGGAUUACUAGGAGAAAGCUUCUGAAAACCCAGUGAUUACGUCAGGUAAAAAAUAAUAAAGUGCGACUCUUGUACUUACUGAGACACAAAAAGGCAAUUAUGCAAAAAGACACUUAAAAGCUGUGCUGCUAAGAAUAUAGUCCUAAUCUUUCUUAAUCCCCCUUCCUUUCAAGUACCACUUUCCCAAUAUUUUCUUCAUUUUAAAUUCUCUUGGAAAACAUCCCUCGUGUUCACUAUCAUGUAGCAUUUAGUGAAUCUAUUUUUCUGUCUACCAUCAAACUUAAAUAACACUCCCUUCAUUGCUUUAAAACAUGUUUCUUCUUAAUAAUUAUCUUGAAAUUUUCACAUAUCCUUUCACCACUUUUUCCCAUACAUGUAUAUGUAGGAUUUUAGGAACCCAGCUAAUAGGAAUGGCUUUUCUUUAUUUUAAAUUCAGUAUUCUUGUGGAAUUUUGGAGUGUGACAACUAAGGGCCUUUCAGGAUUCUAUUUCAUCUCUUGCACCUUAUUCAUCUCUAAUAUCUAUCACCUAUCAUCAGGUCUGACAUAAAAUACAUACAACCUUAUUAUUUAACAGCUGCCCAGAGUAAAGGUAACCAAAUGAACAUUGCCAUAGAUGGAAUUGAAAAGCCAAAGGAAUUGACUGAAAUAGAAAUAUAUAGGUGACUGUCUGAGGGCACCUCAAAGGGUACUAUCUGAGAGCAUGCAUGGUCUGCUAAUUUAAGACGGCAACACAAUGCAUAAAUCCAACUGGAAAGAAACAUGCUCAUAGAGGAGAAUCAAUUUCAGUAAUGAGGUCUAUCACAGUAAUAGCCUUAUAGCUGGUAGUACACCUCAUUAUUUUUGAAAUCAUCAGCUCAAUCAUUUAUUUAUUGUUCUGAUUAUAAUGUUGAAUAAUUUCCUUGCAAUAAAUCAACAAAAGUUCUGCUUUAUAUAUAUAAUCUACUUAUGUAUACAUAUAUAUGAAAUUCUUGAUAGAUGGUUUUUAUUAACUUUGCCCUUGAAUCUUGCCCACUUAGUUGGUCAAUUAACUCUCUUUUGAAGUAUUGAUUCCCCUCAUUUAGCAAAGGAUAUCUAUCUGGUUUAAUAAUAUUUUUAAAUAUGACUUUUCCAAAAAAAAUUUAAAAGUAUUUAAGAUAGAUACUUGAGUUAAAUUAGGAAAAAUGGGUUAUUCUUUUUGAAACUGCAAUAAUAUAUUAUUACUGAAACUUUUGAAAUACAAUUUACUCACAUACCCCUUGGAUACUAUAAAAUCUGUCUCAUAUAAUGACAAAUAAUGGGCACCUUAUUUUAGGAGAUUCUUUUAAAAGUCCAUUUUUUAAAUGAAAUGUUUUCGGGCAUAGUUAUUUCAUUUGGUUUCCAUUAAUAUUGACAAAUAGAAAAAAAAGAACAUUCCUCUCAUAGUUUAGCUUUUUGUGAAAAGCAGUAUAUCAGAAUGAUUGUGGCACAGAUUGUGGCGUUAACCCACAGUUUGAAUCUGACUAAAUCAACUCCUAGUACCGAGAUAUUAGAGAAGGUAUCUAACUUUUCUGUGCUUCUAUUUUUACCUCCUUAAAAUGGACCUAAUGAUAUAACUUCCUUCAUGCAGAUGUUGAGCUAAAAUGGUAUAUAAAAGACCUGGAAGUGCCUGGCACAUAGAAAAUUCUGGAAAGUUUUGGCUGUUAUUGUUCUCCCUCCGAAUUUAUGCUAUUAAAAAUGUUUCAAGCUUGUCAAGCUUGUCAAGGUGAAAAAAAUUAAAACAUAAAAGUUAAAAGAAAAGCAAAAUAGAUAAAUUCGAGACCAUUUUCAAGUUGAAGAAGCCUAUAAAUGUUAGAAAAGUGAAAUGGAGAAAAACAUGUAGGAGACUGCUGUUACCAUAGACAGAGAAGGAUAACAAAGAUAAAAUGAGAAGGCAGGGAAAGACGAAGGAUAGCUACAGGAGGAAAUCAAGCAGAGGCCUGGGUUAUAAGCUGGAGAAGUGUAAAGGGAGUCACGGUGGAAAUAUGAUAGCAGAUCAAAGAAAUAGCUACAUAAUGAAAGGGAGAUAAGUAAAGUGAGAGGGUAAGAAGUAUCCCCUUUUCUCUAUUCAAAAUGCACUUGAAAAGAAAGAAAAAUCAGCCUUGUAAGAAAGUAUUAAAAAAAAUAGCGAGCAUGUUUAUAUACAGUCUUGAGUCGCUUAACUGCGUGGACGGGGGCGCUUCUGAUUGAUGUGUCGUUAAGCGAUUUGUCGCUGUGCGAACAUCACAGCGUGUGCUUACACAAACCUAGGUUGGAACAGCCUACUACACACCUAGGCUACAUCGUACUAAUAUGGGACCAUCAUUAUGUAUGCGGUCCGUCGUUGACUGAAACGUUGUCAUGUGGCGUACGACUGUACUUUAGGUAGCAAACUUAAAGACAAUUAUGAAUGAAGAAAAGGAAGAAAACAUUUAACACAAUAGACAGAAGCUGUGUAGGAUUUGCGGAAAUAUAAAACAAAAUAGACCCCCCCCCCAAAAAAAAAGAGAGAUUAAAACAAAGAAAAAUGAGUUCACCAGAGACUAGACUAGGAAGGACUUGGAAAAUAAGUUGUCUACUUUGGAUUUUAGAAGAUAUUCUUAUAAGAAAUUUUUCCUGUGAUCUUUCUAAGUAUUUCCAUUUUAACUUUUUUAUUCCCAAGUGAAAAAUAUCUUAAAAAUAUCUAUCUCUGCUCUUUUAUUUUCUUUCUUAUAUAUCAUUUGCAUAUUCCAUGGGCUAUUUUUAUUUUUUUAUUAUUUGUAUAUGUAAUGAUAAAAAAAGUAUCUUCUUUCAUUUGCACAUUUCAAAUAG